This 475-nucleotide ribosomal RNA is filed under the name uncultured bacterium. RNAcentral describes it as "bacterial SSU rRNA". It matches the Rfam family "Bacterial small subunit ribosomal RNA", at positions 28 to 504 of the family's 1533-position model. The record is from RNAcentral.
GAUGAACGCUGGCGGCGUGCUUAACACAUGCAAGUCGAACGAAGCAUUUAAGACAGAUUACUUCGGUUUGAAGUCUUUAUGACUGAGUGGCGGACGGGUGAGUAACGCGUGGGUAACCUGCCUCAUACAGGGGGAUAGCAGCUGGAAACGGCUGGUAAUACCGCAUAAGCGCACGGUAUCGCAUGAUACAGUGUGAAAAACUCCGGUGGUAUGAGAUGGACCCGCGUCUGAUUAGCUGGUUGGUGAGGUAACGGCCCACCAAGGCGACGAUCAGUAGCCGACCUGAGAGGGUGACCGGCCACAUUGGGACUGAGACACGGCCCAGACUCCUACGGGAGGCAGCAGUGGGGAAUAUUGCACAAUGGAGGAAACUCUGAUGCAGCGACGCCGCGUGAGUGAAGAAGUAGUCGGUAUGUAAAACUCUAUCAGCAGGAAGAUAAUGACGGUACCUGACUAAGAAGCACCGGCUAAAUAC